GGCGCACGGGUGAGUAACGCGUAUCCAACCUGCCUUACACUCUUGGACAGCCUUCUGAAAGGGAGAUUAAUACAAGAUGUUAUCAUGAGUAAGCAUUUUCGCAUGAUUAAAGGUUUACCGGUGUAAGAUGGGGAUGCGUUCCAUUAGAUAGUAGGCGGGGUAACGGCCCACCUAGUCUUCGAUGGAUAGGGGUUCUGAGAGGAAGGUCCCCCACAUUGGAACUGAGACACGGUCCAAACUCCUACGGGAGGCAGCAGUGAGGAAUAUUGGUCAAUGGACGAGAGUCUGAACCAGCCAAGUAGCGUGAAGGAUGAAGGUUCUAUGGAUUGUAAACUUCUUUUAUACGGGAAUAAACGAAUCCACGUGUGGAUUUUUGCAUGUACCGUAUGAAUAAGGAUCGGCUAACUCCGUGCCAGCAGCCGCGGUAAUACGGAGGAUCCGAGCGUUAUCCGGAUUUAUUGGGUUUAAAGGGAGCGUAGAUGGGUUGUUAAGUCAGUUGUGAAAGUUUGCGGCUCAACCGUAAAAUUGCAAUUGAUACUGGCAGUCUUGAGUACAGUUGAGGUAGGCGGAAUUCGUGGUGUAGCGGUGAAAUGCUUAGAUAUCACGAAGAACUCCG
This 616-nucleotide ribosomal RNA is filed under the name uncultured Bacteroidales bacterium. RNAcentral's name for it is "bacterial SSU rRNA". It matches the Rfam family "Bacterial small subunit ribosomal RNA", at positions 97 to 711 of the family's 1533-position model. Lineage: Bacteria; Pseudomonadati; Bacteroidota; Bacteroidia; Bacteroidales. The record is from RNAcentral.